CUACGGGAUGCAGCAGUGAGGAAUAUUGCACAAUGGGGGGAACCCUGAUGCAGCAACGCCGCGUGGAGGAUGACGCAUUUCGGUGUGUAAACUCCUUUUAUAUGUCAAGAAAAUGACGGUAGCAUAUGAAUAAGCACCGGCUAACUCCGUGCCAGCAGCCGCGGGUAAUACGGAGGGUGCAAGCGUUACUCGGAAUCACUGGGCGUAAAGGACGCGUAGGCGGGUUGGAAAGUCAGGUGUGAAAUCCUACAGCUUAACUGUAGAACUGCACUUGAAACUUCUAAUCUAGAGUAUGGGAGGGGGAGGUGGAAUUAGUGGUGUAGGGGUAAAAUCCGUAGAUAUCACUAGGAAUACCUAAAGCGAAGGCGAUCUCCUGGAACAUUACUGACGCUAAGGCGUGAAAGCGUGGGGAGCAAACAGGAUUAGAUACCCUGGUAGUC
RNAcentral lists this ribosomal RNA (440 nucleotides) under uncultured bacterium. RNAcentral describes it as "partial 16S ribosomal RNA". It matches the Rfam family "Bacterial small subunit ribosomal RNA", at positions 339 to 795 of the family's 1533-position model. The record is from RNAcentral.